This 200-nucleotide unclassified non-coding RNA is filed under the name Pleosporales sp. Its description in RNAcentral is "partial internal transcribed spacer 2". The record is from RNAcentral. Lineage: Eukaryota; Fungi; Ascomycota; Dothideomycetes; Pleosporales.
UUAAGUUCAGCGGGUAUCCCUACCUGAUCCGAGGUCAAGCGCGAAAAUAUGGGCUUCAUGGACGCCUGCAACACAGCGAAGAGCGCAAAAUGUGCUGCGCUCAAACACCAGAUUGCCGGCUGCCAAUUGAUUUGAGGCGAGUUCACGCGCUGCGGCGGAACAAACACCCAUCACAAGCAGAGCUUGAGGGUACAAAUGAC